GGCGGCAGGCUUAACACAUGCAAGUCGAGCGGGCGUAGCAAUACGUCAGCGGCAGACGGGUGAGUAACGCGUGGGAACGUACCUUUUGGUUCGGAACAACACAGGGAAACUUGUGCUAAUACCGGAUAAGCCCUUACGGGGAAAGAUUUAUCGCCGAAAGAUCGGCCCGCGUCUGAUUAGCUAGUUGGUAGGGUAAUGGCCUACCAAGGCGACGAUCAGUAGCUGGUCUGAGAGGAUGAUCAGCCACAUUGGGACUGAGACACGGCCCAAACUCCUACGGGAGGCAGCAGUGGGGAAUAUUGGACAAUGGGGGCAACCCUGAUCCAGCCAUGCCGCGUGAGUGAUGAAGGCCCUAGGGUUGUAAAGCUCUUUUGUGCGGGAAGAUAAUGACGGUACCGCAAGAAUAAGCCCCGGCUAACUUCGUGCCAGCAGCCGCGGUAAUACGAAGGGGGCUAGCGUUGCUCGGAAUCACUGGGCGUAAAGGGUGCGUAGGCGGGUCUUUAAGUCAGGGGUGAAAUCCUGGAGCUCAACUCCAGAACUGCCUUUGAUACUGAAGAUCUUGAGUUCGGGAGAGGUGAGUGGAACUGCGAGUGUAGAGGUGAAAUUCGUAGAUAUUCGCAAGAACACCAGUGGCGAAGGCGGCUCACUGGCCCGAUACUGACGCUGAG
RNAcentral lists this ribosomal RNA (668 nucleotides) under uncultured bacterium. RNAcentral's name for it is "bacterial SSU rRNA". It matches the Rfam family "Bacterial small subunit ribosomal RNA", at positions 38 to 750 of the family's 1533-position model. The record is from RNAcentral.